AGUGAACGCUGGCGGUAGGCCUAACACAUGCAAGUCGAACGGCAGCACAGGAGAGCUUGCUCUCUGGGUGGCGAGUGGCGGACGGGUGAGGAAUACAUCGGAAUCUACCUUUUCGUGGGGGAUAACGUAGGGAAACUUACGCUAAUACCGCAUACGACCUACGGGUGAAAGUGGGGGACCGCAAGGCCUCACGCGAUUAGAUGAGCCGAUGUCCGAUUAGCUAGUUGGCGGGGUAAUGGCCCACCAAGGCGACGAUCGGUAGCUGGUCUGAGAGGAUGAUCAGCCACACUGGAACUGAGACACGGUCCAGACUCCUACGGGAGGCAGCAGUGGGGAAUAUUGGACAAUGGGCGCAAGCCUGAUCCAGCCAUACCGCGUGGGUGAAGAAGGCCUUCGGGUUGUAAAGCCCUUUUGUUGGGAAAGAAAUCCUGUCGAUUAAUGCUCGGUGGGGAUGACGGUACCCAAAGAAUAAGCACCGGCUAACUUCGUG
This 490-nucleotide ribosomal RNA is filed under the name uncultured bacterium. RNAcentral's name for it is "partial 16S ribosomal RNA". It matches the Rfam family "Bacterial small subunit ribosomal RNA", at positions 29 to 507 of the family's 1533-position model. The record is from RNAcentral.